RNAcentral lists this long non-coding RNA (955 nucleotides) under Homo sapiens (human). RNAcentral describes it as "HSALNT0317968". Lineage: Eukaryota; Metazoa; Chordata; Mammalia; Primates; Hominidae. The record is from RNAcentral.
UGUACAAUGGGGUGAUCUGUGCAAUGAGGUGAUCUGUACAACGAGGUGAUCUGUACAAUGGGGUGGUCUGUACAAUGGCUGAUGUGUACAAUGAAGUGACGUGUACAAUGUGGCUCAAGCCGUCUGUGUAAUUAUCUUAAACUUUUUCAUUUCGGAAAUGAAACAGCUCCUCCCUUCACCGCCACCUUGGCUAUUUCUGGGACCAAAGGAAUCCUUGAAGCUGACCGGGCAGGAGAGUCCACGCUGGGAGUAAAAUCACUACAAACUGUCCAUCAGAAGGCCCCUGCUGAGUAGUUGGCAGGGUGGCUGCACAUAAUGGAAAGCACAUAAGCUUGAAGCCAGACAGAUGGGAGUUCUAACCCCAGCCCUGCCACUUAUUCCCAGGUGACACUGAGUGGAAAUUAGGCCAAAAUAAAUACUACUUUCUGCUUAAAAAAAUGCAGUGAUGUCCAAAGAGAAGGGAGGAGGAAGGAUGAAAGGAAAGACAGAGGAGGAAGGAAGAGAAGAAAGAAGAGUGGCCGGCACAAGGGCUUGGAGAUCCCUGAAGCUGUUUUCCUUUCUCCUCACCCCCACAGGGAGGGAUCCACAUCGUUGUGGGGUUUUUGUUGUUGUUGUUUUUGUUUUUGUUUUUUUGCCUCCCUUCAUCAAAGCAUUCAUUGUAGUGUAUGGUAAUUGUCUCUGAAUGUAACAGCCUCUCUUCCCUGAGGCCUGGGUCUGCUUGUUUCAUACCAUCUUCUCCUUAACACACAGUGCUUGGUAAACAAUACCUAUUAAUAAACAUUUGUUGAAUGAAUGAAUGAGUGAAUGAACGAAUACUGCACUCUUUCGACUUGGUUAGAGACAUGUCUUGUAGGCUGGCAUGUACUUCACACAGCACUCUUAGGUAGAGUUUGUAUAUGUUAUUCCAUUGAAGGGAAAAGGAAGCCAGACUGUGGGGAGAAAAAAAAAAAAAAAA